UACGGAGGGUGCAAGCGUUAUCCGGAUUCACUGGGUUUAAAGGGUGCGUAGGUGGGCAAGUAAGUCAGUGGUGAAAUCUUCAGGCUUAACCUGGAAACUGCCAUUGAUACUAUUUAUCUUGAAUACUUUGGAGGUAAGCGGAAUAUGUCAUGUAGCGGUGAAAUGCUUAGAUAUGACAUAGAACACCAAUUGCGAAGGCAGCUUACUACACAGUAAUUGACACUGAGGCACGAAAGCGUGGGGAUCAAACAGG
This 253-nucleotide ribosomal RNA is filed under the name uncultured bacterium. RNAcentral's name for it is "partial 16S ribosomal RNA". It matches the Rfam family "Bacterial small subunit ribosomal RNA", at positions 524 to 776 of the family's 1533-position model. The record is from RNAcentral.